UACGUAGGUGGCAAGCGUUGUCCGGAUUUACUGGGCGUAAAGGGCUCGUAGGCGGCCAACUAAGUCGGACGUGAAAUCCCUCGGCUUAACCGGGGAACUGCGUCUGAUACUGGAUGGCUCGAGUGUGGGAGAGGAAUGCGGAAUUCCAGGUGUAGCGGUGAAAUGCGUAGAUAUCUGGAGGAACACCGGUGGCGAAGGCGGCAUUCUGGACCAUAACUGACACUGAGAGACGAAAGCCAGGGGAGCAAACGGG
RNAcentral lists this ribosomal RNA (253 nucleotides) under uncultured bacterium. RNAcentral describes it as "partial 16S ribosomal RNA". It matches the Rfam family "Bacterial small subunit ribosomal RNA", at positions 524 to 776 of the family's 1533-position model. The record is from RNAcentral.